UUAGGUCGGUGGAGAUCUCCCGAGAGAAAGAGUCCUGAUUGGGCUCCAAGUUAGGGCGGGCGCCCUGCCUCUGGCCCCGUUCGGCCUCCGCUUCCUUCCCGUGGCUUCUGGAGUCUUCUAGAUGUAAGAUAAUUGAACGGCACGUUAAUAUCUCUAUGUAAUCCCGACGUGUGGGCCUUUCUUCCGUAUUUCCUGAUAACCCCCUGCAGAAAUAGACAAACACCAAAACUCAUGGAAUUUUGUCAGAUAAAACACUAAUUCUAGAUGUUGAUUUCAUUUUGAUCCUUUUCUUUGUUUAUUUGAUAAUUAAAUUUGAUACUUAAGGACCG
This 329-nucleotide long non-coding RNA is filed under the name Sorghum bicolor (sorghum). RNAcentral describes it as "long non-coding RNA (SBIC_LNC012166)". Lineage: Eukaryota; Viridiplantae; Streptophyta; Magnoliopsida; Poales; Poaceae. The record is from RNAcentral.